AUGAGGCGGACAAACGCGGUUAGUGAUGUACCCAACGCGCAAAACAUGCAGCGGACAAGCGAGGAGGCGAAAUCAGGCGGCGAAUCAAAGAAAGACGGCGGCGAGGGCGCGGCGGCCAAGCCGAAGGCAGAGGGCGGAGAGGGCAGGGACGCAGGCAACACGGCGGCCAUGGGAGGAGGCAGGAGCUCGAGGGGCACCACGCGGCGGGCAGAUCCAACGAGGAGGAGGCCGGAAUCGAGGCGGGGGCACGCCAUGGGAGGAGGCAGGAGCUCGAGGGGUACCACGCGGCGGGCGGAUCCGACCAGGAGGAGGCCGGAAUCGAGGCGGGGGCACGCCAUGGGAGGAGGCAGGAGCUCGAGGGGCACCACGCGGCGGGCGGAUCCGACGAGGAGGAGGCCGGAAUCGAGGCGGGGGCACGCCAUGGGAGGAGGCAGGAGCUCGAGGGGCACGUGA
RNAcentral lists this ribosomal RNA (453 nucleotides) under Triticum aestivum (bread wheat). Its description in RNAcentral is "partial small subunit ribosomal RNA". The record is from RNAcentral. Lineage: Eukaryota; Viridiplantae; Streptophyta; Magnoliopsida; Poales; Poaceae.